This 1394-nucleotide ribosomal RNA is filed under the name uncultured bacterium. RNAcentral describes it as "bacterial SSU rRNA". It matches the Rfam family "Bacterial small subunit ribosomal RNA". The record is from RNAcentral.
AGAGUUUGAUCCUGGCUCAGAUUGAACGCUUGCGGCAUGCCUUACACAUGCAAGUCGAACGGCAGCACGGGAGCUUGCUCCUGGUGGCGAGUGGCGAACGGGUGAGUAAUAUAUCGGAACGUACCCUAGAGUGGGGGAUAACGCAGCGAAAGUUGCGCUAAUACCGCAUACGAUCUACGGAUGAGAGUGGGGGAUCGCAAGACCUCAUGCUCAUGGAGCGGCCGAUAUCUGAUUAGCUAGUUGGUGGGGUAAAGGCCUACCAAGGCAUCGAUCAGUAGCUGGUCUGAGAGGACGACCAGCCACACUGGAACUGAGACACGGUCCAGACUCCUACGGGAGGCAGCAGUGGGGAAUUUUGGACAAUGGGGGCAACCCUGAUCCAGCAAUGCCGCGUGAGUGAAGAAGGCCUUCGGGUUGUAAAGCUCUUUUGUCAGGGAAGAAACGGUGAGGGCUAAUAUCCUUUGCUAAUGACGGUACCUGAAGAAUAAGCACCGGCUAACUACGUGCCAGCAGCCGCGGUAAUACGUAGGGUGCAAGCGUUAAUCGGAAUUACUGGGCGUAAAGCGUGCGCAGGCGGUUAUGUAAGUCAGAUGUGAAAUCCCCGGGCUCAACCUGGGAAUGGCAUUUGAGACUGCAUGGCUAGAGUGUGUCAGAGGGGGGUAGAAUUCCACGUGUAGCAGUGAAAUGCGUAGAGAUGUGGAGGAAUACCGAUGGCGAAGGCAGCCCCCUGGGAUAACACUGACGCUCAUGCACGAAAGCGUGGGGAGCAAACAGGAUUAGAUACCCUGGUAGUCCACGCCCUAAACGAAGGUCUACUAGUUGUCGGGAACUUAAUUGUCUUGGUAACGCAGCUAACGCGUGAAGUAGACCGCCUGGGGAGUACGGUCGCAAGAUUAAAACUCAAAGGAAUUGACGGGGACCCGCACAAGCGGUGGAUGAUGUGGAUUAAUUCGAUGCAACGCGAAAAACCUUACCUACCCUUGACAUGUACGGAACCUCUGAGAGAUUAGAGGGUGCUCGAAAGAGAGCCGUAACACAGGUGCUGCAUGGCUGUCGUCAGCUCGUGUCGUGAGAUGUUGGGUUAAGUCCCGCAACGAGCGCAACCCUUGUCAUUAGUUGCUACGAAAGGGCACUCUAAUGAGACUGCCGGUGACAAACCGGAGGAAGGUGGGGAUGACGUCAAGUCCUCAUGGCCCUUAUGGGUAGGGCUUCACACGUCAUACAAUGGUACAUACAGAGGGCCGCCAACCCGCGAGGGGGAGCUAAUCCCAGAAAGUGUAUCGUAGUCCGGAUUGUAGUCUGCAACUCGACUACAUGAAGUUGGAAUCGCUAGUAAUCGCGGAUCAGCAUGUCGCGGUGAAUACGUUCCCGGGUCUUGUACUCACCGCCCGUCA